Molecule: ribosomal RNA, 1724 nt
Filed under: Salmonella enterica subsp. enterica serovar Kentucky
Lineage: Bacteria; Pseudomonadati; Pseudomonadota; Gammaproteobacteria; Enterobacterales; Enterobacteriaceae
Description: partial 23S ribosomal RNA
Rfam family: Bacterial large subunit ribosomal RNA
Source: RNAcentral
CUGUGUGUUGUUGGGUAGGGGAGCGUUCUGUAAGCCUGCGAAGGUGUCCCGUGAGGGAUGCUGGAGGUAUCAGAAGUGCGAAUGCUGACAUAAGUAACGAUAAAGCGGGUGAAAAGCCCGCUCGCCGGAAGACCAAGGGUUCCUGUCCAACGUUAAUCGGGGCAGGGUGAGUCGACCCCUAAGGCGAGGCCGAAAGGCGUAGUCGAUGGGAAACGGGUUAAUAUUCCCGUACUUGGUGUUACUGCGAAGGGGGGACGGAGAAGGCUAUGUUGGCCGGGCGACGGUUGUCCCGGUUUAAGCGUGUAGGUGUGUGUUCCAGGUAAAUCCGGUUCACUUUAACACUGAGGCGUGACGACGAGGCACUACGGUGCUGAAGCAACAAAUGCCCUGCUUCCAGGAAAAGCCUCUAAGCAUCAGGUAACAUCAAAUCGUACCCCAAACCGACACAGGUGGUCAGGUAGAGAAUACCAAGGCGCUUGAGAGAACUCGGGUGAAGGAACUAGGCAAAAUGGUGCCGUAACUUCGGGAGAAGGCACGCUGACACGUAGGUGAAGUGAUUUACUCAUGGAGCUGAAGUCAGUCGAAGAUACCAGCUGGCUGCAACUGUUUAUUAAAAACACAGCACUGUGCAAACACGAAAGUGGACGUAUACGGUGUGACGCCUGCCCGGUGCCGGAAGGUUAAUUGAUGGGGUCAGCGCAAGCGAAGCUCCUGAUCGAAGCCCCGGUAAACGGCGGCCGUAACUAUAACGGUCCUAAGGUAGCGAAAUUCCUUGUCGGGUAAGUUCCGACCUGCACGAAUGGCGUAAUGAUGGCCAGGCUGUCUCCACCCGAGACUCAGUGAAAUUGAACUCGCUGUGAAGAUGCAGUGUACCCGCGGCAAGACGGAAAGACCCCGUGAACCUUUACUAUAGCUUGACACUGAACAUUGAGCCUUGAUGUGUAGGAUAGGUGGGAGGCUUUGAAGUGUGGACGCCAGUCUGCAUGGAGCCGACCUUGAAAUACCACCCUUUAAUGUUUGAUGUUCUAACGUGGACCCGUAAUCCGGGUUGCGGACAGUGUCUGGUGGGUAGUUUGACUGGGGCGGUCUCCUCCUAAAGAGUAACGGAGGAGCACGAAGGUUGGCUAAUCCUGGUCGGACAUCAGGAGGUUAGUGCAAUGGCAUAAGCCAGCUUGACUGCGAGCGUGACGGCGCGAGCAGGUGCGAAAGCAGGUCAUAGUGAUCCGGUGGUUCUGAAUGGAAGGGCCAUCGCUCAACGGAUAAAAGGUACUCCGGGGAUAACAGGCUGAUACCGCCCAAGAGUUCAUAUCGACGGCGGUGUUUGGCACCUCGAUGUCGGCUCAUCACAUCCUGGGGCUGAAGUAGGUCCCAAGGGUAUGGCUGUUCGCCAUUUAAAGUGGUACGCGAGCUGGGUUUAGAACGUCGUGAGACAGUUCGGUCCCUAUCUGCCGUGGGCGCUGGAGAACUGAGGGGGGCUGCUCCUAGUACGAGAGGACCGGAGUGGACGCAUCACUGGUGUUCGGGUUGUCAUGCCAAUGGCACUGCCCGGUAGCUAAAUGCGGAAGAGAUAAGUGCUGAAAGCAUCUAAGCACGAAACUUGCCCCGAGAUGAGUUCUCCCUGAGACUUAGAGUCUCCUGAAGGAACGUUGAAGACGACGACGUUGAUAGGCCGGGUGUGUAAGCGCAGCGAUGCGUUGAGCUAACCGGUACUAAUGAACCGUGAG